ACAGCAGUCGCCGCGGGAAUACGUAGGGUGCAAGCGUUAAUCGGAAUUACUGGGCGUAAAGCGUGCGUAGGCGGUGAGUUAAGUCUGCUGUGAAAUCCCCGGGCUCAACCUGGGAAUGGCAGUGGAUACUGGCUCGCUAGAGUGUGUCAGAGGAUGGUGGAAUUCCCGGUGUAGCGGUGUAAUGCGUAGAGAUCGGGAGGAACAUCAGUGGCGAAGGCGGCCAUCUGGGACAACACUGACGCUGAGGCACGAAAGCGUGGGGAGCAAACAGGAUUAGAUACCCCUGUAGUCCCUGUCUCUUAUAC
This 305-nucleotide ribosomal RNA is filed under the name uncultured bacterium. RNAcentral's name for it is "partial 16S ribosomal RNA". It matches the Rfam family "Bacterial small subunit ribosomal RNA", at positions 508 to 807 of the family's 1533-position model. The record is from RNAcentral.